CAAUUCAGCUGCCCCAUCCCAAAUGUCGACUGACCCAACCUAUUCCCAAACAGCCAAAUUCCUUUUUCCCUUUCCUCUUCAUCACAACGUAAAACAACAACUACUUCAGCACACAACAACAAAUGACCCAACAACUAUAUGAUCAGCAACACAGUCAAACAACACCAACGGCAACCUUUAGACCGACGAGCAUUACGAAAUCCAUUGGUUCAUCUCCACCUCUCCUCUACUUUCGUCUCUAUCAACAUCACCUGUUUUCCACCCAUCACUUCUUGUUGAAGUAGAUCAAAUCCCAAGGCUCUGCAUUUCCUGGAAAAGAUGGGAAAGUUCAUGGACCUUCACGUUUUGAGGUUAUUUAGCCCUUCAAACCAAUAGAUGUAAGCCUUUCUACCUUCAAACUAUCACUCGUCUUUCAAAUCAAUCGAAAAGUGUUUUUAGGUUAAGGAGCCAGAUGAAGGGAAGACUUGGAAAAUGCAGAAAAAGGCCACUUACGGUCAAACUGGAGGAUCGUUAGCCAUGUGAUGAACCGCCAGGGUGGUUGCCAGAGUAAAAUAGAAGGGAGUAGUUGAGUUGUCUCAUUAACGGUCCAAGUGGAGGACAGUCAACCAUUCGACGCACUGUUAACUUGUCCGUCAGGGCAAAACAGAACAUGGCAUCUUGGAGGAUCAAGUGACGGCCCAUGCGAUGGAUCGCCAGGACAGCGACGGUUCACUAACAUAACCGUUAACCCUUAAUAGAACCUGACAUUCUGGAACCAUCAGUGAUGGUCCACGCAAUAGAUCGUUAGGCUUUCAACGAGCCACCAGCCUGACUGCCAACUUGGAUGCGGCUUUUCUGAGUUUGAAUUUUAAAUCCUCUGUAUCUGGGAACAUAUAAAUACCCAGUUUAGGUUUUAUUUAGGUAUUUUUUAUCAUGUUUCCAUCUUUGAGACUUAUUUUAGCAUAGUAUUCUCUGAGAUUCAAGAUAAAAUUGUGGAUCUAACCAUUUCUAUCCUCAUUUCUACUAAA
This is a long non-coding RNA of Capsicum annuum, 1007 nucleotides long. RefSeq lists it as uncharacterized. Lineage: Eukaryota; Viridiplantae; Streptophyta; Magnoliopsida; Solanales; Solanaceae. The transcript is spliced from 2 exons. The record is from RefSeq and is a predicted model, not a curated record.